UAACGCGUGAGGAACCUGCCUCAAAGAGGGGGACAACAGUUGGAAACGACUGCUAAUACCGCAUAAGCCCACGGUGCCGCAUGGCACAGAGGGAAAAGGAGCAAUCCGCUUUGAGGUGGCCUCGCGUCCGAUUAGCUAGUUGGUGAGGUAACGGCCCACCAAGGCAACGAUCGGUAGCCGGACUGAGAGGUUGAACGGCCACAUUGGGACUGAGACACGGCCCAGACUCCUACGGGAGGCAGCAGUGGGGAAUAUUGCACAAUGGGGGAAACCCUGAUGCAGCGACGCCGCGUGGAGGAAGAAGGUCUUCGGAUUGUAAACUCCUGUUGUUGGGGAAGAUAAUGACGGUACCCAACAAGGAAGUGACGGCUAACUACGUGCCAGCAGCCGCGGUAAAACGUAGGUCACAAGCGUUGUCCGGAAUUACUGGGUGUAAAGGGAGCGCAGGCGGGAAGACAAGUUGGAAGUGAAAUCUAUGGGCUCAACCCAUAAACUGCUUUCAAAACUGUUUUUCUUGAGUAGUGCAGAGGUAGGCGGAAUUCCUGGUGUAGCGGUGGAAUGCGUAGAUAUCGGGAGGAAUACCAGUGGCGAAGGCGGCCUACUGGGCACCAACUGACGCUGAGGCUCGAAAGUGUGGGUAGCAAACAGGAUUAGAUACCCUGGUAGUCCACACCGUAAACGAUGAUUACUAGGUGU
This 696-nucleotide ribosomal RNA is filed under the name uncultured bacterium. RNAcentral describes it as "bacterial SSU rRNA". It matches the Rfam family "Bacterial small subunit ribosomal RNA", at positions 111 to 823 of the family's 1533-position model. The record is from RNAcentral.